Molecule: unclassified non-coding RNA, 967 nt
Filed under: Hevea brasiliensis (rubber tree)
Lineage: Eukaryota; Viridiplantae; Streptophyta; Magnoliopsida; Malpighiales; Euphorbiaceae
Source: RNAcentral
GGAAGAGGAGGAGGAGGAGGAAGAGGAAAGAGAGCGAGAGAAGAAGAGGGAUGUCGAGAAUUUACGAGGCUUUCUAAACCAUUUGAUGAUAAAUUUUCAUAUGGAGGCACGUCUUCUGCUGAUAGAGAGAGUUCAAAAAUUGCCGCGACAACCGUAAUCCCACCAGCACAAACCACAUUUACUACCAUAUAUGAGCACAAUGAGGCCUUGAGAGAAGAGCCAAGGAGAAAAUAUAGAGGAGUGAGGCAAAGGCCAUGGGGCAAAUGGGCAGCUGAAAUAAGAGACCCGUUCAAGGCUGCUAGAGUUUGGCUAGGCACUUUUGACACUGCUGAAGCCGCAGCAAGAGCUUAUGAUGAAGCUGCACUCAGAUUCAGAGGCAGCAAGGCUAAACUGAACUUCCCGGAAAACGUCAAGCUCCGACCAUCUACCUCCAAUCCAAUGACAACCCAGUUGACAAUUUCUGAUUCUCCAAAUACCCUUUUGUCCGUGUCUACUCAGCCAAUUGUUUCAGGGGACUUGGUGAACCAUCCUCCAUUGGUGUUGGAUGUUAGUGGUUAUCAAAGACAACCCAUGAGUCUAUAUGAUCAAAUGUUUUUAUCAUCUUCAUCAACGGCUUCUCAUCAUUUUCAUUCGUCUACUUUUUCUUCAUCUCCACAAUCUUCCCUUCCUCUGCUUUUUCCAGCUCCACCUCCAGGAGAGUCCACCAGUCAGAGUAGGGGUGCAGAUAUUUCAGUCCCACCGUGGCCGGUUCCUCCUUCCUCUGGUUGAUAUAUUUUAGUAAAUUUCAAAUUUGUUGUUGCUACCACAUUUGUUCACCUGCAUUUAGUAGGUCAUUAGCUUCUUGUAACAAUCAUUAUUAUUUCUGAUUAUUAAUUUUAGUAGAUUUAGGACAUAUAUUUUGUGAUCCCAAAUAACAUUUAUUCACAGUGGCAGAUUUUUGUAUUAUAAUAAAAGGAUUUGGUUUGGG